GAACUAGGUGCGUAUUUACAUUAGGUUUGAUCCUCUGAGAAAGGGGGUGUGGCCCCAGAGAAAGGAAGCCUCUGGUGCCCAGGCAGAGAGAAUGAGAAGACGGAAUCAUUCCCUCUAUAGCCCCAUUUCUUUCUCCAACACAGAAACUCAGUCAGUUCCUCUGUUCUGCCCAGCCCAGGCCAUGCACCUCAGUUUACUGUGCAGUGUGGUCUUUUGUCUACUGCAGGCAGGUCCAGUGAAUGCUGGUGUCAUUCAGAUCCCAAACUCUCUGCUCUGGAAGGCAGGACAGAAUGCAACUAUAAGAUGCACCCAAGAUAUGAACCUUGACACCAUGUUCUGGUAUCGACAGGAUCCAGGGCUGGGGCUGAGGCUGAUCUAUUACUCACUUUAUACAGGCAACAAUGAAAAAGGAGACAUCCCCGAGGGGUAUAAAGUAUCCAGGCCAAGCA
Molecule: long non-coding RNA, 449 nt
Organism: Nannospalax galili (Upper Galilee mountains blind mole rat)
Lineage: Eukaryota; Metazoa; Chordata; Mammalia; Rodentia; Spalacidae
Exons: 2
Source: RefSeq, a predicted model, not a curated record